ACAAACAAAUUGCUUUCACAGGUUUUUCCUUUGUUGUUUAGAUGGAAACAAAACACAGGAAGAGGCAGAGCUGUGCGCACAAGGUGAAGACACACACACACACACACACAUAUACAAUGAAAGGCCUUUAUGCCUUUUUCUCACAACAGGCCGCUCACUCUGAUCAAUCCUGACACCCACAUGGCGAAGCCCGAGAGAUGCUUCAGUUCAGAUAAACGUAAUGACUGUGAUUACCACUACGGCCCGAGCAGCAGAUGUGCUGGCGAGCGCUUUCAGAAGUCGCCCUUCUCCGUGGAUAUACACACGGUGUUAACUGCAUACAGAGCAGCCCAAUCUAAAAGCAAUAUGUGUGAGAGUCUAUGAGAUGUGACAUCUGACCGCUGUUCUAAACUUCUUGCGGUUGUCGUUGUAGCCAUAACCCGGCAGUCUAAACACGGCGGGGCUGAACUGUGUGCAACAUAAGCCGUCAAAGACACAAACACGCACACACUUGGACGUGAGUUUCCUUUGCUGAAAACGCCCACCAUCUAAUCUAAGUUGUUUUGUUCGCACUGAUGUACGGUUGGAUGUAGGCUAGCAUUUGAGGUAACCAUCUGAAUCCUUUCAGAAUGAGGGCGUCCGGGCCUGGGAGACAAUCUGGGAAUAAACAAGUCUGUCUGUCGAAGACCUUUUACAUCCCCACGCGGGUGAUUUCACCAAAAGUGGCUACCGAGGACUUUCUUCAUAUCGAAACUGGGUAGGACUACUUUAUCUUGGAAUUAAUCAAUGUUUCCAAUUUAGUGAGAAUGUGAGAAAGAUGAGAUUUUUCCCAGUCGUGUCCAGCUACGUAGGAACCAAGCUGCCGAAGUGUUGCUAAAAUUCCUGUCGAUGUUGUUACAAUGUUAUGUUCUUUUGGGAAACGUCAGUCCUGGCCUUCAUCCGGAUGAUACUCCACAUUCAGAAGGCUCACGUGGCAAAGGCAAGGAGGUGUUCCUAGUUCCCUAGCCAAGUCUAAACCCAGUGUAGUCAUCAGAUACCAGGGCCAAGACAUCGCUUAUAUUCCGACCAGCAACUUGAGACACGAGGACGGAGUAGGAGCUGAGAGAUGACGUCCACGACUGGUUAGUAAGUAGCGAGUUUACGCUCUAGAAAAAGUUUCCAUUUAAGGUAUUAAACCAACCAAAGCUGCUUAAGUUUGGUCAACACAGCUCAGAUUAAUAAACCAACCACAAAUCCCAUAAAAUCUUUUCUGCAUAUUCAUGAGGGAAUAUCUGUUAGUUAGAGAUUUCAUUGUAGUAAAAUAGAUUUAGCAUUUUCAAUAAGUUCUUGGUUUUCAGUUCAU
This is a long non-coding RNA of Mugil cephalus (flathead mullet), 1321 nucleotides long. RefSeq lists it as uncharacterized. The record is from RefSeq and is a predicted model, not a curated record. The transcript has 2 exons. NCBI's taxonomy places the organism in Eukaryota, Metazoa, Chordata, Actinopteri, Mugiliformes, Mugilidae.